CUGUGGGUAUAGCUCAGUGGUAGAGUGUUUGCCUAACAUGUGCAAGACCCUGGGUUCAAUCCCCACCACAGG
This 72-nucleotide transfer RNA is filed under the name Marmota monax (woodchuck). RNAcentral describes it as "tRNA.Val". The record is from RNAcentral. Lineage: Eukaryota; Metazoa; Chordata; Mammalia; Rodentia; Sciuridae.